ACUCCUACGGGAGGCAGCAGUGGGGAAUAUUGGACAAUGGGGAACCGUAGCAUCAGCCAUGCCGCGCUGUGUGAAGAAGGCCUUCGGGUUGUAAAGCACUUUCAGUGGGGAGGAAAGGAUUGAUGGUUAAUACCUAUCAGCUGUGACGUUACCCACAGAAGAAGCACCGGCUAACUCCGUGCCAGCAGCCGCGGUAAUACGGAGGGUGCAAGCGUUAAUCGGAAUUACUGGGCGUAAAGCGUGCGCAGGCGGUCUGUUAAGCGAGAUGUGAAAGCCCCGGCUGC
Molecule: ribosomal RNA, 284 nt
Filed under: uncultured bacterium
Lineage: Bacteria
Description: partial 16S ribosomal RNA
Rfam family: Bacterial small subunit ribosomal RNA
Source: RNAcentral